GCAGUAAUGGCACGGAGAGGAAUCGCCUCCGGAAAUCGUGUAGCUGCACACAUGAGGGUGACCAGACCAAGGGUUCUCGUGUGCCAACGAUAACACCUGCUGGCGAUACGGUGUGGGUACAACUAUUUGAGUUACCACACCCCAAUCCAUGCCAGCGGCAACAGGAGGACGUAUCUGACAAGGGCAAGACCCCCGCCAGUAAGAAGGACUGGGAUGCCCCAGUGUCCCUUAAAAUUCGAACUGCCUUUUGGACAUUCGGUUCCCCAACCAGAGACACAAAUCCUUCAAAUACGAAUGGUGCGUAGCCAACGCUACCUUCUUCACUGGUACUGGGAAGUUUAUGAGAU
Molecule: long non-coding RNA, 347 nt
Organism: Conger conger (European conger)
Lineage: Eukaryota; Metazoa; Chordata; Actinopteri; Anguilliformes; Congridae
Exons: 3
Source: RefSeq, a predicted model, not a curated record